CUCAAACGAAGGAGCCAAGGCACUCCGGUACCCGCCCCCACCGGGGAUCCGCCGCGCCCCACAGCCUGAAAGGGAUCCCCCCAACAGCGGGGCGUGGAGGGCGGCAAGCCCGCGUGGACCGACGCUCCAGGCCCGGAAGGGCGGUGCGGCUGGCACACACCGACGCGGCUCUCCCAGGCCCCGCAGUGCGGUCAGGCUCAGCGGAGGACCAAACGCGGAGGGGACCGUGGGGGGCGCGGCGCGGCGCGGCCUCUGUUGGUGCACGAGGGCCGGCAGCAUGCUCAGCAGAGUAGCGGGGAAGACGCAGGCGCCGCGCGGCCG
This 321-nucleotide long non-coding RNA is filed under the name Rattus norvegicus (Norway rat). RNAcentral describes it as "long non-coding RNA NONRATT030978". The record is from RNAcentral. Lineage: Eukaryota; Metazoa; Chordata; Mammalia; Rodentia; Muridae.